GAGUAACACGUGGAUAACCUACCUAUAAGACUGGGAUAACUUCGGGAAACCGGAGCUAAUACCGGAUAAUAUUUUGAACCGCAUGGUUCAAAAGUGAAAGACGGUCUUGCUGUCACUUAUAGAUGGAUCCGCGCUGCAUUAGCUAGUUGGUAAGGUAACGGCUUACCAAGGCAACGAUGCAUAGCCGACCUGAGAGGGUGAUCGGCCACACUGGAACUGAGACACGGUCCAGACUCCUACGGGAGGCAGCAGUAGGGAAUCUUCCGCAAUGGGCGAAAGCCUGACGGAGCAACGCCGCGUGAGUGAUGAAGGUCUUCGGAUCGUAAAACUCUGUUAUUAGGGAAGAACAUAUGUGUAAGUAACUGUGCACAUCUUGACGGUACCUAAUCAGAAAGCCACGGCUAACUACGUGCCAGCAGCCGCGGUAAUACGUAGGUGGCAAGCGUUAUCCGGAAUUAUUGGGCGUAAAGCGCGCGUAGGCGGUUUUUUAAGUCUGAUGUGAAAGCCCACGGCUCAACCGUGGAGGGUCAUUGGAAACUGGAAAACUUGAGUGCAGAAGAGGAAAGUGGAAUUCCAUGUGUAGCGGUGAAAUGCGCAGAGAUAUGGAGGAACACCAGUGGCGAAGGCGACUUUCUGGUCUGUAACUGACGCUGAUGUGCGAAAGCGUGGGGAUCAAACAGGAUUAGAUACCCUGGUAGUCCACGCCGUAAACGAUGAGUGCUAAGUGUUAGGGGGUUUCCGCCCCUUAGUGCUGCAGCUAACGCAUUAAGCACUCCGCCUGGGGAGUACGACCGCAAGGUUGAAACUCAAAGGAAUUGACGGGGACCCGCACAAGCGGUGGAGCAUGUGGUUUAAUUCGAAGCAACGCGAAGAACCUUACCAAAUCUUGACAUCCUUUGACAACUCUAGAGAUAGAGCCUUCCCCUUCGGGGGACAAAGUGACAGGUGGUGCAUGGUUGUCGUCAGCUCGUGUCGUGAGAUGUUGGGUUAAGUCCCGCAACGAGCGCAACCCUUAAGCUUAGUUGCCAUCAUUAAGUUGGGCACUCUAAGUUGACUGCCGGUGACAAACCGGAGGAAGGUGGGGAUGACGUCAAAUCAUCAUGCCCCUUAUGAUUUGGGCUACACACGUGCUACAAUGGACAAUACAAAGGGCAGCGAAACCGCGAGGUCAAGCAAAUCCCAUAAAGUUGUUCUCAGUUCGGAUUGUAGUCUGCAACUCGACUACAUGAAGCUGGAAUCGCUAGUAAUCGUAGAUCAGCAUGCUACGGUGAAUACGUUCCCGGGUCUUGUACACACCGCCCGUCACACCACGAGAGUUUGUAACACCCGAAGCCGGUGGAGUAACCUUUUAGGAGCUAGCCGUCGAAGGUGGGACAAAUGAUUGGGGUGAAGUCGUAACAAGGUAGCCGUAUCGGAAGGUGCGGCUGGAUCACCUCCUUUCUAAGGA
Molecule: ribosomal RNA, 1447 nt
Filed under: Staphylococcus aureus
Lineage: Bacteria; Bacillati; Bacillota; Bacilli; Caryophanales; Staphylococcaceae
Description: bacterial SSU rRNA
Rfam family: Bacterial small subunit ribosomal RNA
Source: RNAcentral